Molecule: ribosomal RNA, 501 nt
Filed under: uncultured bacterium
Lineage: Bacteria
Description: partial 16S ribosomal RNA
Rfam family: Bacterial small subunit ribosomal RNA
Source: RNAcentral
AUUGAACGCUGGCGGCAGGCUUAACACAUGCAAGUCGAGCGGAGAUGAGGUGCUUGCACCUUAUCUUAGCGGCGGACGGGUGAGUAAUGCUUAGGAAUCUGCCUAUUAGUGGGGGACAACAUUCCGAAAGGAAUGCUAAUACCGCAUACGCCCUACGGGGGCAAGCAGGGGAUCUUCGGACCUUGCGCUACUAGAUGAGCCGCAGUCGGAUUAGCUAGUUGGUGGGGUAAAGGCCUACCAAGGCGACGAGCUGUAGCGGGUCUGAGAGGAUGAUCCGCCACACUGGGACUGAGACACGGCCCAGACUCCUACGGGAGGCAGCAGUGGGGAAUAUUGGACAAUGGGCGGAAGCCCGAUCCAGCCAUGCCGUGUGUGUGAAGAAGGCCUUUUGGUUGUAAGGCACUUUAAGCGAGGAGGAGGCUACCUGGAUUAACACUCUAGGAUAGUGGACGUUACUCGCAGAAUAAGCACCGGCUAACUCUGUGCCAGCCGCCGCCGUAA